This 253-nucleotide ribosomal RNA is filed under the name uncultured bacterium. Its description in RNAcentral is "partial 16S ribosomal RNA". It matches the Rfam family "Bacterial small subunit ribosomal RNA", at positions 524 to 776 of the family's 1533-position model. The record is from RNAcentral.
UACGUAGGGGGCUAGCGUUGUCCGGAAUCAUUGGGCGUAAAGCGCGCGUAGGCGGCCCGGUAAGUCCGCUCUGAAGGUCCAGGGCUCAACCCUGGAAUGCGGGUGGAUACUGCCGGGCUAGAGUCCGGAAGAGGCGAGUGGAAUUCCUGGUGUAGCGGUGGAAUGCGCAGAUAUCAGGAGGAACACCAAUAGCGAAGGCAGCUCGCUGGGACGGUACUGACGCUAAGGCGCGAAAGCGUGGGGAGCAAACAGA